ACAUGCUUAAACAUUCAUAAUACAAAUUUGAACCAUUUUAUCAAAAAAAUAUUCAGGAAUUAAAGUUGAACUACACAUAUAAAGGGAACUUCAAAUUUAAACUAAAUGGAUUUUCAACUAAAUUACGACUAUAAUAAGAAAUAAAAUUACAUAGUCCUGACUGAUUGAGUUAACUACACUUGAUGAAAUGCUAUAAUAACUGUAACCUUCGAUUUCAUCCACAACGCUUGUCAAUUUGACGAACAAUAGCUUACAACAUUUCAAAAUGGCUUGAUUUGGGUUUGAGACUCACAGAUCUGGCCUAUUGAUGGCCAGACCCAUAAGUUGAAGCCAUGACAUAACAUUAUCAGUCCUUCACAAAUAGCUUGACAUGUUGUCUUAACAAACCAUUAGGAAGUCUAUAGAUUAGAAUUCAUGAUCAACAAAUUAUGAUGUGGAGAUGCCAAUAAUAGAAACUAAUAGUAAUACAUGUGCUUAAGGACAUUCAUAACAGCAGCAAACAGGUCAGAGGUGAGCGAAUGCCAAUUCAAGCCAUUCAAAUACUUAGAACAUUGCAUAAGAAGAUAUAUAACAUCAUGUAAGCACAACGACCAUCUGAAUUUCACAGAUUUCAAGCUCAAAUUGAUUGUGCUAAGCUCAGAAUCAUACAAAGUUAUCAAUGUGUACCUUAAAGCAGCAAAAGUAAGUAGAAGAGAAAAUAAGUCUCUGAAAUUCUGAGAAGAAACAGCAGCAAGAACACAAAGCAGAAAAACCAAAACCACAGCAGCCUCAAACUCAGACCAUGAAUCCCAGCAAAAGAACAUUGGGAAAUGAAAAGAAACACAGCCUGGAUUUUUUUUCUUUUGUUUUCUAGCUUUAAACUUAAAAAGAAGAUCAGAUUGAAAAAUGAGGAGAAAGAGUCUUGGAAUAUUUUUUUCAGGGCUCUCUUGCGCGUCCGAAAAUUCCUGUUUUAGAAUGCAGAAUGAGUCCUAUUAUAUAGGCUGUGUGUGUGUAAUCAGAGAGAAUGAGAGAGAGUCCCCAAAAAAAAUAGAAUUUGUCAGGCCCUCACUAAAAUUUAGGAAAAUAGCAUCUUUCAAAACUGAAUUUGGACAAUUGUCCUUGUUUCUAGAUGGUUCUUUUUAUUUCUUACCAUUUAACUUCUGAAAAUUAUUUCUUGUGACCCCAACUUGAAAUGAACUCUGAUUUUUAAAAAAAAAUGCAUUUUAGUCCCUUCUAGAGACUUCCCCAACAAACAAAUCAGAUUCCCUAAUUUUCCAAAUCCCUUUGACCCCUUUAACUCCUAUUAAUUACACAUGAGUCAUAGCAGAAAGAAAUCAUGUAAAUCAGUCCCAAUAAACAAAGAAGCAAAAUUAAUCUAAUUAACUCAAUAAUUAAGACUAAUUAGCAUGCAAUUGAGCUGUUAAAAUCACAUAAACCCUUAAAACAAAACAGACAUGUUGCGCCUUAAAACAAAUAGCCAAAAUGUUAAUUUACUGUUAAUUAACUAAUUACUAAGCUAAACUAAUUAAACUGAGAUAAACGUUCAUCAAACAAGUUCUGAUUAAACACCUAAAACACAUUGUUCUUCUCUCUUUUUUUUUAAUCUUUCUUAAAGCAAACAAAAUAACAAAACAAGAUAAAGAGGGCAAGGAUGUACCUAGUAAAGAAAAACAAAACUACCCAUCUUGAAGCGAAACAAGAGGCUCGACCGGAUUCCGAUGAUUCCGUAAUAAACUAAAGCUUACAUUAAUUAAUUGUUCUUGACAAGAACAAAUAAUUAAUGUUAGUUUCAACUCAAAACAGCUUGAACUUGAUGAAGGAAUCGGAAAGAACUAAAUUAGGUUUUCUGGCCGAUUUUAGAUCUAAAAUUCGAGGAUUUUGAGUGGUGUUUUAGGAAAAUUGAAGGUAGAUUUGGAUUGAGGAUGAAGUGAGGAGUGUGGGGUGUGAAUUUGGGCGGAUUUGGAGGUCGUUUGGUGGUGCCAAGAUGGCGACCGCUGGUGGAGGUUUGUGGGAGUUUGGGGGCGGCUAGGGUUAGGCUGAGGGAGAGAGAUGGAGAAGUGAGAGGGAUCUGAGGGGUUUGGAAGAGGGGGGGGGGUCUCCGACAGAUAUAGGGGAUUGGAGAGUGGAGUUGUGGGUCGUUCGAUCAAAGGAAAUCAACGGCUAAGAUCGACGUUACGAAAACGACGUCGUUUUGGUUUAGUGAGGAAUCUGGACCGGAUUGGGGAGGCGUUGGACCUGGGCCGCGUGAGUUUGAGGGGAAUCUUAGCAGUUGGGCUUCCUUGAGAAUGGUCCAAUACAAAUACAACCCCUUUUCUUUCUUUGUUUUUCUCUUUCUUUUCCUUUAAUUUAAAGUUCUAAUCAAAUUAAUUAAAAACUAAAUUAAAUCCUAAUUUAAAUCUAAUUUGUAGAAAUAAACUUAGUUAUCUAUUUUACUAUUUAAAUAAUUAAUUAAUUUAAACUAAUGAAAGCAAAAUUACUAAUUUGCAAUUAAGAGCUAAAAUGUAAAAAUGACCCAUAUUUUUUGUGAUUUUUCGUUUAAUAAUGCAAUUAACUCAUGUAAUUAAAUAAUAAUAUGCAAUUAAAUCUAAGAUGCUAUGCAAUGAAUAUUUUAUAUAUUUAUGGUAUUUUUUAUAAUUUUAAAUAUUAAAUAAGUAACUAAAUGCAGACAAAAUUAACCAAAAAAUCCUAAAAUUCAAUAAAAACGAAAAUAAUUUAGAAAGAUCUACUUUUGAACUUUGUAGGAGUAAUUUUAGGAAGACAAAAAUCAGGUGCUCACAACUGCCCCUCUUUGCUCCGAAACACGAAGAGUUUUUGGGCAAAGAUAAAGUGAGCAAAUACGAGCAAUUUUUUGUCCUUUUGGAUACUCCAUGGGAAGCGUUAUUAAAAAGUCUGACUGAACCUUGCUUCGGAGGUUGUCUACAUAUUCUUGGCUAUAAAGGAAUCAAGUCAGUGUAGUUCUGAAAGUUUUAGUAGCUGGGACUACCGAGAAGCUGUGAUUUCACUGUUGUUGCUGUUGUUACUGCUUGCUGACCUCAUUAUUAUACCAAAAUCAAAAUGAAAAAAAACUAAGCAAGUCUAUCAGCUAUGAGUUACAAGAUUCCUAUCUAUAUGUGAUGACCCAAAAUGUCAUCUUUUUUUAAUGAUUAAUUUUGUGUUCUAAGACCUCGAAAAUAAAAAUACUAUUUAUCAUUACUCGACUUGCGUGCGCAGUUCGUAAAAUUUUUCAGAAAGUUUUUAUGUGAAAAUGGAUUAAAAUAUGAAUUAGAGCUUUAAAACUCAACUGAGUUGACUUUGGUCAAUAUUUUGAGCAAACGAACUCGGAUCAGUAUUUUGAUAAUUCCGGUAGGUCCGUAUCGUGAAUUGGGACUUAGGCGUAUGCCCGGAAUUAAAUUCUGAGGUUCCUAGCCCGAGAUAUGGAAGUCCGUAGUGGAAUUAGGCUUGAAAUUUCGAAAGUUGAAUUUUAAGAAAGUUUGACCGAGGGGGCUGACUUUUUGAUAUUGGGAUCGAAAUCUGAUUCUGAAAAUUUUCAUAGCUCCGUUAUGUCAUUUAUGACUUGCGUGCAAAAUUUGAGGUCAAUCGGACUUGAUUUGCUAGGUUCCGGUGUUGUUUGUAGAAAUUAAAAGUUUCAAUAUUCAUUAGGCUUGAAUCUAUGUGUGAUUCAUAUUUUUAGUGUUGUUGGAUGUGAUCUGAAGAUUCGACUAAGUUCAUAUGGUGUUUUAGAACUUGUUGGUAUAUUUGGUUGAGGUCCCGAGGGCCUCGGGUGUGUUUCGGAUGCUCAACGGGUCAUUUUUGGACUUAGAGAAGUAGCAGAUUUUUCUGGUUUUUGUUGCAGAAGAUUGUUCUUCGCGUUCGCGAACGUGUGGUCAGUGGAAGCAUCACGAAAGCGAGGAGUAGGACGCGUUCGCGAAGAGUGUUUUCUGAGUGUGAGGUUUUGUUCUUCGCGUUCGCGAAGGGGAGGACGCGAACGCAAAGGUAUGGUCUGUGUGUGCAUCGCGAACACGUGAGUGGCGUCGCGUUCGCGAAGGAGAGCGAGGCAAGGAUCGCGUUCGCGAAGAAGAAACCACUGGACAGAAUGUUUAAGUUCAAAAAUGGGACUUCGUCCCAUUUUUCAUUUUUAACGAUUUGGAGCUCGGAUUGUGGCGAUUUUUGAGAGAUUUUCAGAUAAAACGUUGGGGUAAGUGUUCUUAACUCAAUCUUUGUUAGAUUACCCGAAUCUAUCACUGUUUUUAACAAUUAAUUGGUGAUUUAAGUUGAAAAAAAUUCGAAAACCCUCUUGGAUAGAUUUGAGGAUUUGAGGGUCGAACUGUUAUUGGAAUUUAGUCAUUUUGGUAUGAUUAGGCUCGUGGUUGAAUGGGCGUUCAUAUUUCGUAACUUUCGUCGAAUUCCGAGACAUGGGCCCCAUGGGCCAUUUUUGAGUUAAUUUCGGAUUUUUAUUGAAAAUGUAAUAUUUUCUUAUAGAAUUAAUUCUAUAAUUUUUGUUGACUGUAUCAAAUUAUUUAUGACUAGAUACGAGUCGACCGGAAUCGAAAAAUCGAGGAAAAGGCAUAUUACUUGAUUAAAUUGGAGCAAGUCGAGGUAAGUGACUUGUCUAACCUUGUGUGGGAGAAAUUCCCCUAGGAUUGGUAUUAAAUGUAAUGUGAUGAAAGUCGUGUACACGAGGUGACGAGUGUGUACACGGACUAAAUGUGAAGGAUUAUGUGUUCAAAUAAUGAAGAUCUUUGUUGCAUAUUAAUUAAAUUAUUAAAUCUUGAUAUAUUCUCCAUUAUUGAUUUGAUUUGUAUACCUUAAAUUUGCUUGACUUUUUCCUGCUAAUUGUUUUACCUGUUUAAUUGAAACUUGGUUUCUUUUAUAUUGUGCAUUAUUUGAAGGUUAAUUUUCUUUAAAUUAAAUAUUAUUAAUAUGAAGUAUUUGACAUUUCUAAAUUUGAUAUUGAAGCAACGUAUUAAAGAUUUUGAAAUAUUAUUUUUCUGAAUUAUUUAUUCCUGAAUAUUUCGUAAGAUUUUUGAAUUAUUUUGGUAUGAGCCGUGAGCUCUUUAUUAUUGAAAAAUAUUGUUGAUGAUUUAUUUUUGAAAAAAUUAAAAUAUUGGGCACUUGAGGUGCAGAUUGUGAUAUAUUGUGAUAUUGAUAUGCAUGCGGUGGUAUAAGGUCUGGGUAUUGAAACGCAUGCGGUAAGAUAUGGGUGGCUUGAUACGCGUGGCUAGUAGGGGUGACUACUAGAAUUCAUGCGGUGUGAUUAGGGUGGCUAAAAUGCGGGAUGCUAUUUCGAAAAAAAUAUUUUAUUUAAAUGAAUUGUGAAGGCUCCCGCGGUGAUAUAAGAAAAUGAGAUAUUGUGAAUUUAUUUAUGAUUUGGGACUACGAGGCGGUACCUCGGUAGUGCCCUUGUUGAUAUUGAUUUAUGGCCAUAGUUGCCUUCGAUUAAUUGUUGUGAUUUUCAUAAAGUUAAAAGGAAUUCUGUUUUGAUUCCACGAGAUAUUAUUUGCAAUUAUUUGGUGUCAUUAAAUGUAACAUACUAUUUGAUUCAUUUCCAUCGUCAUUUUAUCUUAUUAAAUUGUUUAAACAUUUUUUCCAUGUCAUUAUCUAUUCUCCAGUAGGGCCUGACCUGACCUCGUCACUACUCUACUGAGGUUAGGCUUGGCACUUAUUGGGUACCGCUGUGAUGUAUUCAUACUACGCUUCUGCACAACCUUUUGUGCAGAUCCAAGUACAUCUUACCAGUCUAGACGUCAGUGAGUUACCUGCACACGGAGACUUCGAGGUAUAUCUGCCAGCGUCCGCAGACUCCGGAGUCCCCUUCUGUCAUUUUAUGUUGCUUUCUUAUUUUUCUUUAGACCUUGAUACAUAGCAACAUUGAGAAUAAAUUUUUAAAAGCUUGUGACUGAUUUCUACCGGGUUUUGGGAGUUGUAAUUAUUUGAAUUGUAGUUUAUUUAUUUCAGAUAUUUAUGAUUAUUCCGCAUUAAUAGGCUUACCUAGUCUUAGAGACUCGGUGCCAUCACGACCUCCCACGGAGGGAAUUUGGGGUCGUGACCCUAUAGGUCUUCAGAAACUUGAUUUUGAAUCUUCUACAGUUCUGUUGUGCAUCUCGAAUUGUCGACUCGCAUUUUUGAGGCGAGCUUCUGCUACCUCUAACUUGAAUUGACCCUAUUCUUCAGGCGGGCUCCUACUACUGUCUUAAAGGUUGAAGUUAAUUCUGAAGUGACUUCCCUCGUUUUUCAGGUGGGUGCCUGAUGCUGACUUAAAAAUUAAAAUAAAUUCCCUCGUUCUCCAGGUGAGCGCCUGAUGCUGACUUAAAACUUGAAAUAAUUUCCCUCAUUUUUCAGGUGGGCGCAUGAUGCUGACUUAAAAUUGAAAUUUUCAGGUGGGCGCCUGAUAAUUACUUGCACUUGAAAUAAGUUCCCCCAUUCUCUAGGUGGGCGCAUGAUGCUGACUUAAAACUUGAAAUAAUUUUCCUCAUUUUCCAGGUGGGCGCCUGCCAAUGACUUGAACUCGAAAUAAAUUCCCUCAUUUUUCAGAUGGGCGCCUGCUCAUGACUUGAACUGAAAUGAAUUCCCUCAUUUUCCAGGUGGGCGCCUGCUCAUGUCUUGAACUUGAAAUAAACUCCCUCAUUCUCCAGGUGGGCGCCUGCCAAUGACUUAAAACUUGAAAUAGAUUCCCUCAUUCUCCAGUUGGGCGUCUGCUGACUCAAAACUUGAAAUAAAUUCCCUCGCUUUCCAGGUGGGUUCCUAAUGUUGACUUAACAUUUGAAAUGAAUUCCCUCGUUGUCCAUGUGGGCGCCUGCUCAUGACUUGAACUUGAAAUAAACUCACUCAUUCUCCAGGUAGGGCGCCUGCGCUGACUUAAAACUUGAAAUGAAUUCCCUCAUUCUCCAGGUGGGCGCCUACAAUCACAUUAACACAGACAAAACAAAGAAACUUUUUUGCCCCAGUUCGUACCAGGAACCUUCAUUGAGUGUUAGUUGAAUCCCAUUAUCCAGGAGGGUCCUGAAAAUUAAAAACUAGAUCCCAUUGUCUAGGAGGAUCCUGAAAAUCUGAACUUAUCUGGAACAUGCUUUCCUCAUGGAGUAUCCCUAUACAGCAAACACAAUUUGUUACCCAUGUUUCACUCAAAGAAAAUUUCGUCAGUUUUAAAAUGUGGUGGUUAGUUUGUGGCAUCCUUGUUGAAGGUAUCUUCUUCUGCCGCUACCACGCUUAAUUCUGAUUAGCUGCUUCGGCUAACAAAGAAUUGUUUGACAUUUUUGAUCGAUCCUUGACCACAAAAAACCUCUGAAUCUGAAUCCCUUACACUCAACUUGUUAUAUGGUACUUUUAUUUUGACAAUUGUUGAACCUUUGCAUUUCCUUAAAAUUCACGAAUCACUUGACCACCUGAACUUCAAUUACCGCCACAUUGCUCAUUUUGAAUCAUGUCACUUGUGAUGUGUUUGGCUGAAUCUCGCUUGGUGCAAUUAAAAAGUUGGUAAUGGGCUUUAAAGUCCUUUCUUUCUUGCAUAACAAAGACUAACUUGGCAGGGACUUAGAAAAAUAGACCCAAAAGAAAACGAAGCGAAGUGACUUCGAGAAUUAGGAAUAAAGUAGAAAUUUUUGAACAAAUAUGACUAUUUGAAGAAAAAUGGAAAAGAGACUUAUCUGAAUGAAGCAGUUGGCUCCAAUGAUCAUGACGUGCAUUUCGGAUUGAUCAGCCAAAUCCAUCCAACUAAUCACAUUUUAGUUCAUGCCAUUUCUUCAUACUUCAAACCGGGUUUCCAUAAUUCAAUUUCUCUGUAAAGUCAUGAACCUCAAUCGGCUUGUAGUGCCCCGAGGGCCAGCAAACCUCUCUCAUUUGCUCCUAUUUCAACUUACAGUUGCCUUACAGUGCCCGUAAGAGUUUUCACCAAUAAGACUCUCUCAUUAUGAAUUUUCUCUCAACUCACCAUCGCCCUACGGUGCCCGUGAGGGUUUUCACCAAUAAGACUCUCUCAUUUAUUCAUUUUUCCUUAUGCCCAUGAACAAAGGUGCUACCCAUGAUGUAAAUCAUACCUCUAUCUCACUUGACUUGGCAUCCUAAAAGUUGAUCAGAAGGUCUUUCUUUAGACUGUAGUGUAGGUUUUGGACAGGGUUAGAAAGAAAGGGUGGCAUGAAGGCUCAAAAUAAUUUAAGAUGAAGGGGUUCAAGAUUACAACUUUUGGAAUCAGAUCUUUUUAUAAAACUAAAACUUCUGCCCCAGUUUCUUCGAAUCUGGGGAAUUUUGAAUUUUUAUUUUGAUGGGACCGACCCAUAUAAGGCUGUCUACGUAUCCUUAACAGGAAUCAGGUCGAACGUAGUUCAAACUAGUAAAAGUUGUUUAUUUUUGUUACUUUGCUUUUCUUUUCUUUUUUUUUCUCCUUUCUUUUUCUCUUUUCUUUCUUUUGCUUUUCUCUUCUUCUUCUUCUUUUUUUUAUUUUUCUUUUCUAUUUCCAACUCUACUUCUGAUUCCAAAAGAGGGGUAUGAAAGAAAAUAAAUAAGGCUCAAAAAGGGGUAACAAAUGAUAAAAUUAUUUGGGAUAGCAGAAUAAAAUGCCUUCGUCAUUCCAACUUUGAAACAUGCCUAGUACAAAAUGCGAUUGAAGAUAAGUAAAGAAAUCAUACAUAAUAUCUCUUGGCUGCAUCAGAAUUGAUAGCCAUAUCCACACAUUUACCUUCUAUGUAUGUUAAAUACAAAGCACCAUUGGGCAACACCUUUGUCACAAUGAACGACCCCUGCCAGUUUGGGGCGAACUUGCCUUUAGCUUCAGCCUGAUGUGGAAGAUGCGUUUCAAUACCAGCUGGCCCAAUUCAAAUUUCCGGGGACGCACCUUCUUGUUGUAUGCUCUUGCUAUUCUUUUCUGAUACAAUUGACCACGACAUACUGCUGCCAAUCUUUUUUCAUCAAUCAAACUCAACUGCUCUAGUCGAGUUUUGACCCAUUCAUCAUCAAUUCCAGCUUCAGCAACGAUCCGAAGGGAUGGAAUCUCAACUUCUGCAGGUAUAACUGCCUCAGUUCCAUAUACCAGCAAAUAAGGAGUUGCACCUACUGAAGUACGAAUAGUAGUGCGAUAACCUAGUAAAGCAAAAGUAACUUUUCAUGCCAUUGCCUGGAACCUUGCACCAUCUUACGAAGUAUCUUCUUUACGUUCUUGUUAACAGCCUCAACGGCUCCGUUUGGCUUAGGACGAUAUGGAGUGGAGUUGAUGCAUAAUCUUGAAUUGUUGACAUACCUCUUUCAUCAAAUGAUUGUUGAGGUUAGCAUCAUUGUCUGUGAUGAUUACCUUGGGAAUUCCGAACCGGCAGAUGAUAUUUGAAUGAACAAAAUCUACCACCGCCUUCUUGGUCACGGACUUGAAAGUUACAGCUUUGACCCACUUGGCAAAGUAAUCAAUGGCCACCAGAAUAAACCUAUGCCCAUUUGAUGCUGCCAGCUCAAUUGGUCCAAUGACAUCCAUGCCCCAAGCAACAAAGGGCCAAGGUGCAGACAUUGUGUGUAACUCGGAUGGAGGGGAAUGAAUCAAAUCACCAUGCACCUGGCAUUGAUGACAUUUGCGAACAAAGUUGAUGCAAUCUCGUUCCAUGGUGAGCCAAUAAUAACCUGCUCAAAGAAUCUUCUUUGCCAAGACAUACCCACUCAUAUGCGGUCCGCAAACUUCGGAAUGCACUUCGGCCAUGAUGGUAAAAGCUUGUUUAGCAUCUACGCACCUUAGUAGUCCUAGAUCUGGAGUCCUCUUGUACAAGAUUCCCCCCAUUUAAUAAAAAUCCACUAGCCAGACGUCGAAUGGUUCUCUUUUGAUCACCUAUGGCAUGUACCGGAUAUACCCCCGACUUGAUGUAUUCUUUGACAUCAUGGAACCAAGGCACACCAUCAAGUUCCUCCUCAACCACAUUGUAAUAGGCAUGCUGAUCACGGACUUGGAUAUGCAGAGGGUCGACAUAAGUCUUAUCUGGAUGGUGUAACAUUGAUGCUAGAGUAGCCAAAGCAUCGGCGAUCUCAUUAUGAAUCCUGGGAAUAUGCCUGAAUUCUACUGACCUAAAUCGUUGACAAAGAUCAUGCAGACACUGUCGAUACAGUAUGAGCUUCAAAUCCCGAGUCUCUCAUUCUCCCUGAAUCUGGUGAACCAACAAAUCUGAAUCUCCCAAAACCAAUAUUUCCUGAACUCCCAUGUCUAUAGCUAGUCUCAAACCCAGAAUGCAUGCCUCGUACUCAGCCAUGUUGUUGGUGCAAUAAAAUCAAAGUUGAGCUAUUACGGGGUAGUGAUGCCUUGUUUCAGAAAUGAGUACAACCCCUAUUCGGACGCCUUUCAUGUUAGCAGCUCCAUCAAAGAAGAGUUUCCAACCUGGCUUUUCCUCAUGGUCAACCUCGUCAACAUACAUUACCUCUUCAUUAGGAAAAUAAGUCUUCAAUGGUUCAUACUCUUCAUCCACCGGAUUCUCGGCCAAGUGGUCGGCCAAGGCUUGGGCUUUCAUCGCGGUCCGGGUCACAUAGAUGAUGUCAAAUUCUGUGAGUAAAAUCUGCCACUUUGCAAGUCUUCCUGUGGGCAUAGGCUUCUGAAAGAUAUACUUUAGAGGAUCCAUACAAGAAAUGAGAUAAGUAGUGUAGGAUGACAGAUAAUGCUUUAAUUUUUGUGCUACCCAAGUCAGGGCGCAACACGUCCUUUCAAGAAGAGUAUACUUAACCUCAUAAGGAGUGAACUUUUUGUUGAGAUAAUAAAUGGCUUGCUCUUUCUUGCCUGAGAUGUCGUGUUGACCCAGUGCACAACCAAAAGAAUUAUCCAGGACUGUCAGAUAGAGAAUCAAAGGUCUCCCAUGCUCUGGCGGUACCAGCACAGGUGGGUUUGACAGGUACUUCUUGAUCUUAUCAAAUGCUUCCUGACACUCGUCAGUCCACUUAACCGCAGCAUUUUUCCUCAACAACCUAAAAAUGGGCUCAGAAGUCGUUGUGAGUUGAGCAAUAAACCUGUUGAUGUAGUUUAACCUCCCGAGUAGGCUCAUCACCUCAGUUUUAUUCUUUGGAGGUGGUAAUUCUUAGAUGGCCUUGAUCUUUGACGGGUCCAACUCAAUACCGCGUCGACUGACUAUGAAUCCCAAUAGUUUUUCGGACGGGACACCAAAUGCACAUUUCGCUGGAUUGAGCUUGAGGUUGUACCUACGGAGCCUUUGGAAAAACUUUCUCAAAUCCCCAACAUGGUCGGACUGCUUCUUUGAAUUUAUGAUCACAUCAUCUACAUAAACCUCAAUUUUCUUGUGUAUCAUGUCAUGAAAUAUGGUAGUCAUUGCCCUUAUGUAAGUUGCCCCAGCAUUCUUCAAACCGAAUGGCAUUACCCGGUAGCAAUAUGUCCCCCAUGGCGUGAUGAAUGCUAUCUUUUCUCCGUCUUCUUCAUCCAUCAGGAUCUGGUGAUAUCCUGCAUAGCAAUCCACAAAAGACCCGAUCUCGUGCUUGGCACAAUUGUCAAUCCAAAUGUGGAUGUUUGGUAAUGGAAAGUUAUUCUUUGGACUUGCCUUGUUGAGAUCACGAUAAUCAAUACAUACCCUGGUCUUAUCAUCUUUCUUUGGUACUGGCACAACAUUAGCUAACCAAGUGGGAUAUCGAGUGACCCGAAUGACCUUUGCGUCAAGCUGCAUUGUGAUUUCUUCUUUGAUCUUCACACUCAUGUCAGUCUUGAACUUCAUUAACUUUUGCUUGACUGGAGGGAAUGCCGGAUCAAUUGGCAAUUUAUGAACUACCAAAUCAGUGCUCAAACCCAGCAUGUCGUCAUACGACCAUGCAAAAGUAUCUUUAUAUUCAAAUAGUGCUUUGAUUAUUUCUUCCUUGAUUUGCGGUUUCAGAUGCACACUUAUCUUGGUUUCCCUGAUAUUAUCUUGAUCUCCUAAAUUGAUUGCUUCAGUUUUAUUCAGAUUAGGCUUGGCUUUUUCUUCAAAGUGAUUUAGUUCUCUACUGAUUUCCUGAAAUGCUGCUUCUUCAUCAUAUUCUGUUUCAUCACACUCUACUUCUUGGAUUGUUAUUUUAGAAUUAGAUUGGCUUUUAAGAUUUGGCUGAAAAUUCCUCAUGCAUGUCAUGUCAUUGAAACCAGCAUAAAAAGAAUUGUACAGAAAAAAAAAGAAACAAAAACAAAAAUGAAACGCUAUUAGGAAUAAUGGAAAAACGGAAAAUUGUAUUUCAUUGAAAAUAAAAAGAUAGAAAGGUUUGUACAUCAAAACAAGCAAACAUAAAAAUCUGGAUUACAACCCUGGGAUAAAUAAAAUGACAGAAAGGAAAACAAAGAAAACUACUAAAACUCCUUCCGGGUGGGGAGAGGAGUAGCUUUCCAAUUUCUAAGCUUCACAUUUGGCCCAACAAGCUGCACAUCGGCAUUACUGGAGCCUUCCCCGAUUUCUACCAUAUUAACCUCAUCAAAAAGACUCUGGAAUCUCUUGAUCAGCUCUUCAUCAAAGUCGACCACAGGUUUUGGGACUGCUGAUAUUGGGUGUUUUGCGAUCCCUGGCUUGACAAAAGACUUGGAGAUGUGUGGAACAGGAUUAGGAAGUGACCAUGCCUUUCUGUUCAAAUUUUUAGCCCUUUUCACGUCCUUCCCUGUGAGUGUGAAUCCCAAACCAAAUAUACCGAAACUUUCAUGUGGACACAUCGGAUGUGCAAUACCUUGCAGAGAUGAACCCAGACCUUUGCCUGGCACAAAAUCAUUCUUCAAUAUUUCAUUUGCUACCGUGACGGACGCGGAGGGUAGCUUUGGACCCGUAAUGCAUCCUCCCUCAGGAAUCUUCUCGACAGAUACUGUUUUGAACGUUUGGUAAACCCAUGGCCCUUUAUCAUCUUCAGCUUCAAUAAAUGGAACAGUUGUGUCAUUGUAAGCAGAUAAGUUCUCAUCACCGUGCACAACUAUUUCCUGCCUGUCCCAUUCGAACUUUACCAUUUGAUGCAGAGAAGACGGGAUUGCCUUGGCAGUAUGUAUCCAGGGCCUGCCCAAUAACAAGUUGUAGGAGACAGCCACAUCUAGCACUUGGAACUCCAUAGUGAACUCAACUGGCCCUAUUGACAAUUCGAGCAUUAUAUCACCGACAAAAUCUUUCCCUCCUCCAUCAAAGCCUCGAACACAUAUAUUGUUCAUGUGGAUCCUUUCAGUGUCAAUCUUCAACUUUUGCAAAGUGGACAGAGGGCAAAUAUUUACACUAGAACCGUUAUCGAUCAGUACCCUUGAGACAGCAGAAUCCUCGCACUUCACUGUGAGAUAAAGGGCUCGGUUGUGUUCUGUACCCUCCAUAGGAAGUUCAUCAUCUGAGAAAGUGAUCAUGUUUGCUUAGAAGAUCUUGUUAGCAAUCUUCUCCAGGUGGUUCACCGUGAUCUUAUCAGGAAUAUGGGCCUCAUUCAAAAUCUUCAUCAGGGCUUUGCGGUGUUCAUCUGAAUGUAUCAGCAAAGACAAAAGAGAGAUCUGAGCUGGUGUUUUCCUUAACUGCUCCAUAAUGGAAUAGUCUUGCAUUUUCAUCUCUUUCAAGAACUCUUCAGCCUCUUCUUCGGUGACCGGCUUCUUUACUGAGAUGUGGCCAUCCUUGAAUGGCUUGGAUUUCCUCAGUUCCUCUAGGUAAAACAUCUCCCAGAACGAGUCAGCCCUCCGGUUUCAUUGACUUCUUCCUCUACUUUUUUCCCUUUAUAUGUCACUAUCACUUGUUUGUAAUUCCACAGGACGACCUUUGUGUCAAUCAUUGGUAACUGGGUCACUGGCUUAAUAAUAACGAAGGUAAUACGAGCCCCUUCCACGAUUAUGACAGGCUUGCCCGGGAUCCCUAGCACGACCACUUUUUGCUUUUCCUGUUUCGCUUCACCAUCAAUCGGAGGCCCUUUCACAACCAAUACAGAUGGCUUCACGUUGAGCGUGCUUAGCUUCUCCGACACCCCUUCAAUUGUCAAAGGCAUUUCUUUUGCAUAAUCUGGAUCUUUAACUGGAUUACUUUCGCUAGCUCAGAUCAUCAUGAUAGACUUGGAAGAAUUAUUGGGCUCCCCAUCCUUAUGAACUAUCUCAAUCAUAUGUGUCUCUGUAUGGGCUGGCAAAGGAUUUUGGUUGAUGUUUGGCACCUCCGGGCUCUGGACCACAAUUUAAUUUGUAUCAAUGAGCUCUUGGAUCGCCUCUUCAAAUGCCAACACUUCUCUGUGUCGUGCCCUGGGGCAUCAGAACAAUAUGCGCAUCUGAGGGAACAAUGAAGGUUCCUUGGAGGUGGAUUUGGUAUCUUUGGCUCAAUCGGCCUCAAAACGUCCAAUUGCCUCAACCUUUGAAACAAAUUGGUAUAUGACUCUCCAAGAGGGGUGAAGGUUUCUUUCCGCUGCUGCCUUUCUUUUCUAUAAUCCGGCCUUGGUCGAAAUCUUGGACCAGUUGGGUUUCGGUAUAGUUGUGGGGGUGGAUAAGGAUUUUGUGGAGUUGGAGCACGCCAUUGCGGGUAAGGAGGGGGUUGCGUAUAUGACUGUGCAUGGUAAACAUGGUAUUAGGAUGGUCUGAGUGAAUAUUCAGGGUCUUGUGGUGGGAGAUAAUGUUGGGAUGGAUUAUAUGGAGCUUGGGUGUAGGCUUGGGGUCGAGGUUGGGUGUACUGGUGAGGCGAAUCCGCUGGGCCACGCCAUGAUCCAGAGACAAACAUAGCGACAUCAUCUUUCUUCUUUUUGCCUAACAGGCUUCCGGUGCCACUUUGAAUUGCCUGUGUGGUUGCUUUUAUGGCGGAGUAGCUCAUGAUCUUGAUUUACUUGAGUCCUUCUUCCACCAUUCCUCCCAUCUUUACCACAUCGUUGAAAGACUUACCUAUGGCUGAGAUCAAAUGGCUAAAGUAAGUAGGCUCUAGGGCUUGAAGAAAGUACUCGACCAUCUCUUCUUCUUCCAUUGGAGGAUUGACCCGUGCAGCUUGUUCUCUCCAUCUGAAACCAUAUUCCCUAAAGCUCUCGCUGGGCUUCUUCUCUACCUUGGUCAAAGAUAGGCGAUCCGGGACAAUGUCUAUAUUAUACUGAAAGUGCCGAGCAAAGGCCUGAGCCAAGUCGUCCCAUAUGUACCACCUGCUAGCGUCUUGGCGGGUGUACCAUUCCAAAGUUGCCCCACUCAGACUCCGACUGAAAUAUGCCAUUAAUAAUUCGUCUUUCCUACCAACGCCUCUCAUCUUGCUGCAAAAGCCUCUCAAAUGGGCCAUGGGAUCUCCAUGUCCAUUGUACAGGUCAAACUUGGGCCUCUUGAAGCCAGCGGGCAGUUGGACAUCAAGGAAUAAGCAUAAAUCCUUAUAAGCCACACUUACUUGGCUUCCUAUCCCUUGCAUGUUAUUCAAAGAUUGCUCUAAACUCUUCACUUUCCUGAAUAUCUCAUCUUGCUCCACGUUACGGGAUUAUUUCUCAGUUUCAACAGGAGGUUCAAAGUGAGGGGUGUAGGGAUAAGGAUCUGUGACUUUAAAAGUUGGUAUCUGGAGCUUGGAACGUAGGUUCACUAGAAGAUCGGUGGAGGGUAGCUUGCGGAGGAGCUACAAAAACAGGAGCAGAUGUCGGGGCAGGGUAUGCAGUUGUUUUGGCUGGUGGAGCGUGGAAAGUUUGGGACGAGGCGUCGGGGUAGUGGUGGUAAGGGGUAAAGCCCGGUGCAUGCUGAGGGGAAAGAUCAACGGUAAUGGGAUCCUGGGCUUGUGACAGUGGUGGGAUGAAAGCGGGAUUUUCUAUGUAGUUAGCGGGGAAUGAAGGUGGAGGAUGCCCCCUGAUCCAUGCUUGAUACAUUUCUGCCAUUUGAUGCUUCAACCUGUGGACCUCUUCUUUCAGUCCAGAUUCGGAUUCUACCAUCUCCCUCGGUGGGUCAACAACUCCCGUAUCUGUUUCUUUGCUGGCCAUGACUUCCUUGCGCUUUGAUCUAGUGUUAUAGGGGUGACUUGCCAGGAUGCCAACAAACUAACCACCUAAAUAGAACCUGUCUUAACAAUGCACACACAAUAACUUGGUCAAUUUUGAAGCAUUUAACAGACAGGGAAUCGCAUAUUGGGGAUGCGAUGCACCUGAGCAGUUAAACGUUUCUAAAUGCUUUGCGACGGCUUAUGUGUUUCAUCCCGGCUCUUUUCCCAAAUUCAAAUCCUGAUUUUCUUGUGCCGUGUUUCACUCUUUUAGUUCUCAUUCUCUCUUUUUUCCUUUUGUUUGGCCCUUUUUUUCUUUCUUCUAUCCUUUUUUCUUUUCCUCUCUUUUUUUCUUCUCUUUUCUUUUAUUUUAAGACUAUGAUCGAAUCAUAUGGAGAUUGCCUACGUAUCAUGAUGCCGCAAGAAUCAGAUCAUUACGUAGUUCAAGGAUAUAAAUACGAAAUGAAAGAAAAUCUUUUGGGUUUUCAAUACUUCAUUAAUAAAGUCACGUCAUCUUUUUUUGUUUUCUAUUACAAGGACUUAAAAGUACUGACGACUACAAAAGAAAACAUACAGACUCGAAAUAAACAGCUUUGAACAAAACUCUAGAAAGCAGUAAAGUACAGACUCGAAAAACUGAAAAGUCAAAAGUACAUGAGAGCCUCCACUAGUACUCUGGGAGCCUGCGAGACAUCAGCUGGUCUUUGCGCGGGCCUUCGCGCAAUGUCUUCUUUAAGGCCGUUUAAGUCAUCUAUUACCUGGUGGACGAAGGUCAUCAUAAAAGCAAAAAAAAUGGACCUAGUCAUGUCUUCACACUCGUGACAUUUCAUCACGACAUAGUGAGCUAUCUCCUUAAUUCUGGUUCUGAUAACUCCUUUUUCUUGAAGCAGACGCCCAAUUUGCUGUGCCCGGGCUUCCAACACUUGUGUGCUGGUAUUGUUUUGGUCCUGUAGUUGUUGCACACUUUCUUCUAGUCGGCCAAUUAGUGCGUAGCAGUGCUCCUUUUCUGUCUGAAAAUCUUUGAUUUGCUGGAUCAUUUCAUUCUCAAGGGCAAACAGCUUUUCCUUUAGAACUGUUAUUUCUUUGCCAUAUUUUUGUCUCAAAUGGUGGGCUUGUUCUUCUGCUCCUUUGGCCAACAUUGUUUGAGCAUUUAGCAAAUUCUUUUCGGCCUUUAUCAAGUCAGUUGCAUAGUCGUGUACCUACAUUCUUAUGUUACUGAUGAUUUUUUCAUAUCUUUCGAUCCUUACAGGCGUUUCGGCGGCUAUCCUCAUGUCCCGGAGUUGGGCUCGGAGAGCCUCGUUCUCUCGGGUCAAUUUUCUCUUUUCACCUUCGGUUACCUGUGCCUGUAAGUCAUUCUCAAAUGCGAGGUUCCUCAACUUUUCCUCUAAGGCGUGAAUGGUGGCUUGAUAUUUCUUUUCCUUUUCUCCCCAGGCCAAAUGCUCUCGGACUUUGUCAUCAAAAGCCUGAAUAUGAGGCCUUUUGGCGGGCCUUUCAGGCUCGGGCUCUGGUUCAUCAUUAAUGCAGUUUCUUCUUUCGAACCAUGUGGCAUAGCCUGGAUCUACUUCUCCUCUUGCAAGAUCGGGCACUUGGGUGUCCUCUUUUAAGUAUCGACAACCAUUCCAGAUUUGUUGGAUUAAAGCCUCGGAAAGUGGGGCUUCGGGGUAUAGCUCAAUAACUUGGACACUCAAAUCUUCAUCCUCAGGCACCACUUGAUAUCUUCCCAAUUGUCUUAGAACCCUUUGCGGUGCAUAUGGUUGGACACUUCUCAAGCCCAUCAAUAGCAAAUCGUUCUUUGUGGUUGUCAUGUGUAUGACUUCCCUCACUUGGAGCCAUCCUAAAGUCCACUCAAUUCGAUUCGCCUUUAAAGUUCUCAAGUGGGCGAUCCAAGAUUCAACCCCUUCUGGAGAGUUGUAAUCUUUUACCCUCUCCUCAUAACUCUCAAUGAAGUUGCUCUUGCUUGGGCUGUAGCUUAUAAAUUUUUGAUGAAGGCGAAGAUGUUCAAUUAACCACAUUUGUAGAAGGAUAUUACAACCUUCAAAGAACGUCGCCCCAGACUUACACCGUGUUAAUGCCCGAUAGAUAUCCGACAAUAUAAGUGGAGCAAGUGUGUGAUCUUCUUUGGCAGUUAUGACUUGUGCAAUUCUAGCCAUACGGAUAUCAAUCGUCCCUUUUUCAUUUGGGAAGACUAUGAUGCCCAGGAAUGCCACUAUGAAAGCAAAGUGACGAUGAAUUUUCCAAGUAUCUUUACUUUGCUUGUUGUUCAACCCCUUUUCAUGCGUUUCAAACCCAUUUGGAUGUCUAUACCUGGAGUACAGGAAGUAGAAAGAGCAACAUCCAUUGUUUAUAUUGUUCUUCCUUAUUUGUUUACUGAUGUUCAAAAUAUCAAAGAACCGGCGCACAGAGGGAGGCCUUGGGAAUAUAAGUUGCUAUUUUCUCAAGUUCCGGCCGAAACCAGUAUAUCCGGCUAUUUCCUCUAGGGUGGGAGUGAGCUUAAAGUCUGAGAAGCGGAAGACAUUGUGAACGGGAUCUCAGAAGGGCACUAAAGUCUUGAUCAGAUCAUUCCGGGGCUUGACCUUCAUAAUAUCCGUAAGAGCACCCAAAUGUUCUACUACCCAGUCUUGACCAUCUUUACCCAAGUCAUACCACCACAUUUGAAGCUAUAGUGGAGCCUGCUCUACAAUAUUUCACGGCGGGUUCUAGACAGUGUUCAUUUUGUACGUGUGAAUGGUUAGGGUUAGGGUUGACUCUAGUUCGGAAGACAGACCAGCAGACUCUUUUGCAAAAACCAGUUUUCAAUUUUGUUUCAAAGGGAAAUCACCUGAAGGUGACUAUUUGUGCGGCGUUGGCCAAAAUGGUCAUCUUUGCAAUAAUGGCCCCUUCCCACUUUCAAAUAAAGUUUUGAGGCCGAGGUAAGACACUUUAUGGGAAAAGUGAUGCCUUAUUGACAGACAUGUCCGUUCUUGACGAGACUAGCCAUUUGAUAAUUUAAAGGUAUUCUAUGGCUAUUCUGGCAAAAACGGCGCAGGACUUAAUCGAAGCUGGGUCGGUUUUAUUUUCUAACCAAUGGACAUACUUUAUUUAUUUGAUUGGAAAAAUUGGGGUCGGUACCGAUGAGAUUUGCUUACGUAUCUCACAUCCGGUGAGAAUCAGACUCGUGUAGUUCGGUCAGUUUUGACAUAAUUGGAAGAGCAUGAUAUUGAUUUACUUUCAUUUUUGAAAUGCAUUUUUUUUCUUUUUUUUCAAAACUUUUGGCAGAGUUUCGAGGCAUUUUCAAAUACCAGGGUUUUCAGAACCGGGUGAAUUUUCUAUCCUACCUCACUCUUGUUUUUUCUUUUAUUUUCUUAACCGAUCAACAAAUAAGCCGAAAUAAAUUCACACAUAGCAGGUAAGAUGCAUCAGGAUGGUCUUUAUUUCGGGUAUACUUGUCCUAGACGGACCCAACCCCUAUGUUGAGUCCCCUAAAUCAAACGCACGUGAUGCAAACAAACGUUCCUACUAGGGAUCUGGCAUAAGGUUAUGUUAUUCUAGGUUUAAACCUGGGGGUGUGUUCUAGACAUGGCUUACCCAAGCGGGACAACUUGAGCCGUGGUGGGAGCGACGUACCGGGAGCACGAAAGUCUACCCGGCCUAAUGGCUGAUCCAUCCUCGUUUUAUUUGGUAUGACCUCUAACAGAAAAGUGGGCCAUACAUACGUGUGCACCAUAUUUUUAGAAGACUCGGAAGGGAGGCGUAAGAAAAUAAUUUAAUAUAGUUCAAAUAAUAUCAAAGCGGUAAAUGAGCGGCAAUUAGCACAUUAGACCCACAAAUACAGUAAUAACGAUCAAUAAAGCCAAGUAAAAAUCACAACAACAAGCUCGAAUUCUUGAACCCUGAACCAGAGAUUCUGGGUUCGAUCCCCAACAGAGUCGCCAGAACUGUCACACCUCAUUUUUCCCGAGGGGGAUAGAGAGUUUUUCCAAUUAAAGUGACAUUAUUCAAAAUCGUAUUAUUUAAUUAUUUCAGAGUCGCCACUUGGGAUAAUUUAUGGUGUCCCAAGUCACCAGUUUAUUUUAAAUCCCAAAUCGAGGAAAUUUGACUCUGUUUAACGUCUGCGAAAAUCAAAAGACCGGGUAAGGAAUUCUGUUAACCCGGGAGAAGGUAUUAGGCACUCCCGAAUUCCGUGGUUUUAGCAAGGUUGCUUUAAUCAUACAUGGAUUAAUUAAAUUGUUUAAUUACGUGUUUUAGAACCUAUGUGCGUUUUACCUUUUACCGCUUUUAAAUUACUUUAUUAUGGCAUUAUGGAAUUAUCUUGAAAAUGAACCACGUGUGUGUGAAUCUGUUUGUUUGGUGUGCCAAAAAUCAUGUCACGCGUACGUGUACACAAUUAAUAACAAUUUAUUAAAAUUGUUCGGCCAAAGUCGCGCGAACGCGUACUUUGAUUUAUUUGGGAAAAUUAUAAUCAUGUAACGCGAACGUGUACACAAUUACGAUAAUAGAUUAAAUGUGUGCCUAAAAGCAUUUCUACAGGUGUUCAUGAAUUAAUUAUUUUUCUAGGAUUUGAGAUUAAUGUGAGGCCAUGAAUCAUGUAUAAGAGUGUGGAAGAAGCGUACAUUUCAACUAAUGAGAGCUAGAAGAAUUAAUUAAAUCUAAGUUGUUGGAAUUGUCUGAUGAUUGAUAGACAUUCACCUUUAAAAGGAAAAUGGGUCAUCCUAUGAACAAAUAAUUGACGCUGAAUCAAUUAUUGAUAGAGUGUCAAACAGACUUGAAUUUCGGCUCAGGUCCAGUUUUAUAAAGUACCUCAUAAUCCCAAUUAUUUCCCCAUUACUACGGUGGCCCAGACUUAUUUGUGUGGCAAUAAUUGCAGAGAAUUAAUCAGACACUUUACCAAGUCAAUUUAUAACACCAAGUCAGCUAAGUUCAUAUCCCAAAACGUAAUAAGCUACAUUUGAAGAAGAAAAGCACUAGUACAAUGGUUCCAAUUAUAUAAAUAAUUUCCUAAUGAAUUACUCAUGCCAUUAAGCUCUUGUGAUUCAAAUUUCAGUCUACUUUGUCUUAAAGUUUACUGCUCAAACAACUGCUUUUAACAUUCAAACGAAUUCAAAAUUGUGACUGAAAAUCUGUACAUAUACGCCUCAAACAGAUCUUUCACCAAGUGCUACAUUCACUAAAUCUCCGUUGGUCUCUAUUACCAAUGAUAGAAAAAUAAAACAACAUGCUUAAACAUUCAUAAUACAAAUUUGAACCAUUUUAUCAAACCAAUACUCAAGAAUUAAAGUUGAACUACCCAUAUAAAGGGAACUUCAAAUUUCAACUAAAUGGAUUUUCAACUAAAUUAUAACUAUAACAAGAAAUAAAAUUACAUAGUCCUGACUGAUUGAGUUUACUACACUUGAUGAAAUGCUAUAAUAACUGUAACCUUCGAUUUCAUCCACAACGCUUGUCAAUUUGACGAACAAUAGCUUACAACAUUUCAAAAUGGCUUGAUUUGGGUUUGAGACUCACAGAUCUGGCCUAUUGAUGGCCAGACCCAUAAGUUGAAGCCAUGACAUAACAUUAUCAGUCCUUCACAAAUAGCUUGACAUGUUGUCUUAACAAACCAUUAGGAAGUCUAUAGAUUAGAAUUCAUGAUCAACAAAUUAUGAUGUGGAGAUGCCAAUAAUAGAAACUAAUAGUAAUACAUGUGCUUAAGGACAUUCAUAACAGCAGCAGACAGGUAAGAGGUGAGCGAAUGUCAAUUCAAGCCAUUCAAACACUUAGAACAUUUCACAAGAAGAUAUAUAACAUCAUGUAAGUACAACGACCAUAUGAAUUUCACAGAUUUCAAGCUCAAAUUGAUUGUGCUAAGCUCAGAAUCAUACAAAGUUAUCAAUGUGUACCUUAAAGCAGCAAAAGUAAGUAGAAGAGAAAAUAAGUCUCUGAAAUUCUGAGAAGAAACAGCAGCAAGAACACAAAGCAGAAAAACCAAAACCACAGCAGCCUCAAACUCAAACCAUGAAUCCCAGCAAAAGAACAGUGGCAAAUGAAAAGAAACACAGCCUGAAUUUUUUUCUUUUGUUUUCUAGCUUUGAACUUAAAAAGGAGAUCAGAUUGGAAAAUGAGGAGAAAGAGUCUUGGAAUAUUUUUUCAGGGCUCUCUUACGCGUCCGAAAAUUCCUGUUUUAGAAUGCAGAAUGAGUCCUAUUAUAUAGGCUAUGUGUGUGUAAUCAGAGAGAAUGAGAGAGAGUCCCAAAAAAAAAAUAGAAUCUGUCAGGCCCUCCCUAAAAUUUAGGAAAAUAGCAUCUUUCAAAACUGAAUUUGGACAGCUGUCCUUGUUUCUAGAUGGUUCUUUUUAUUUCUUACCCUUUAACUUCUGAAAAUUAUUUCUUGUGACACCAACUUGAAAUUAACUCUGAUUUUUUUAAAAAUGCAUUUUAGUCCCUUCUAGAGACUUCCCCAACAAACAAAUCAGAUUCCCUAAUUUUCCAAAUCCCUUUGACCCCUUUAACUCCUAUUAAUUACACAUGAGCCAUAGUAGAAAGAAAUCAUGUAAAUCAGUCCCAAUAAACAAAGAAGCAAAAUUAAUCUAAUUAAUUCAAUAAUUAAAACUAACUAGCAUGCAAUUGAGCUGUUAAAAUCACAUAAACCCUUAAAACAAAACAGACAUGUUGCGCCUUAAAACAAAUAGCCAAAAUGUUAAUUUACUGUUAAUUAACUAAUUACUAAGCUAAACUAAUUAAACUGAGAUAAACGUUCAUCAAACAAGUUCUGAUUAAAUACCUAAAACACAUUGUUCUUCUCUCUCUUUUUUUUUUUUAAUCUUUCUUAAAGCAAACAAAAUAACAAAACAAGAUAAAGAGGGCAAGGAUGUACCUAGUAAAGAAAAACAAAACUACCCAUCUUGAAGCGAAACAAGAGGCUCGUCCGGAUUCCGAUGAUUCCGUAAUGAACUAAAGCUUACAUUAAUUAAUUGUUCUUGACAAGAACAAAUAAUUAAUGUUAGUUUCAACUCAAAACAGCUUGAACUUGAUGAAGGAAUCAGAAAGAACGAAAUUAGGUUUUCUGGCCGUUUUCAGAUCUAAAAUUCGAGGAUUUUGAGUGGUGUUUUAGGAAAAUUGAAGGUAGAUUUGGAUUGAGGAUGAGGUGAGGAGUGUGGGGUGUGAAUUUGGGCGGAUUUGGAGGUCGUUUGGUGGUGCCAGAAUGGCGACCGCCGGUGGAGGUUUGUGGGAGUUUGGGGGCGGCUAGGGUUAGGCUGAGUAAGAGAGAUGGAGAAGUGAGAGGGACCUA
RNAcentral lists this long non-coding RNA (23029 nucleotides) under Nicotiana tabacum (common tobacco). RNAcentral describes it as "long non-coding RNA (NTAB_LNC003910)". The record is from RNAcentral. Lineage: Eukaryota; Viridiplantae; Streptophyta; Magnoliopsida; Solanales; Solanaceae.